Molecule: unclassified non-coding RNA, 219 nt
Filed under: Hevea brasiliensis (rubber tree)
Lineage: Eukaryota; Viridiplantae; Streptophyta; Magnoliopsida; Malpighiales; Euphorbiaceae
Source: RNAcentral
CUCUUUCUCCAUCUUAUUCAAGUACUCUUGAACAACAUUACUACCUCUUGUAUCAUUCAAGAAAAUUCUAAGGUGCAGCUUAGACUGGCAUGCUUGUGCUAACUUUCCUCGAAGAGGAACCCACACAUCAGCAAGAUCAGAAACAUUUGAUUUCACAAAAUUAAUUUCAGCAUGUCCCAAAGACGCUGCUUCAUCAAAAGGCCCAUCAAAAUCAUAAAC